This 468-nucleotide ribosomal RNA is filed under the name uncultured bacterium. RNAcentral describes it as "partial 16S ribosomal RNA". It matches the Rfam family "Bacterial small subunit ribosomal RNA", at positions 28 to 507 of the family's 1533-position model. The record is from RNAcentral.
GACGAACGCUGGCGGCGUGCUUAACACAUGCGAGUCGAACGGAAAGGCCCUGCUUUUGUGGGGUGCUCGAGUGGCGAACGGGUGAGUAACACGUGAGUAACCUGCCCUUGACUUUGGGAUAACUUCAGGAAACUGGGGCUAAUACCGGAUAGGAGCUCCUGCUGCAUGGUGGGGGUUGGAAAGUUUCGGCGGUUGGGGAUGGACUCGCGGCUUAUCAGCUUGUUGGUGGGGUAGUGGCUUACCAAGGCUUUGACGGGUAGCCGGCCUGAGAGGGUGACCGGCCACAUUGGGACUGAGAUACGGCCCAGACUCCUAUGGGAGGCAGCAGUGGGGAAUAUUGCACAAUGGGCGGAAGCCUGAUGCAGCAACGCCGCGUGCGGGAUGACGGCCUUAGGGUUGUAAACCGCUUUCGCCUGUGACGAAGCGUGAGUGACGGUAAUGGGUAAAGAAGCACCGGCUAACAACGUG